Molecule: ribosomal RNA, 454 nt
Filed under: uncultured bacterium
Lineage: Bacteria
Description: bacterial SSU rRNA
Rfam family: Bacterial small subunit ribosomal RNA
Source: RNAcentral
UACGGGAGGCAGCAGUGGGGAAUAUUGCACAAUGGGCGAAAGCCUGAUGCAGCUAUGCCGCGUGUAUGAAGAAGGUCUUAGGGUUGUAAAGUACUUUCAUCGGGGAGGAAAAACAAAACUAAUAAUUUUAUUUCUUGACGUUACCCGAAAAAGAAGCACCGGCUAACUCCGUGCCAGCAGCCGCGGUAAUACGGAGGGUGCUAGCGUUAAUCAGAAUUACUGGGCGUAAAGAGCACGUAGGUGGUUUUUUUAAGUCAGAUGUGAAAUCCCUGGGCUUAACCUGGAACUGCAUUUUGAAACUGAAAUACUAGAGUAUCGUAGAGGGAGGUAGAAUUCUAGGUGUAGCGGUGAAAUGCGUAGAUAUCUGGAGGAAUACCUGUGGCGAAAGCGGCCUCCUAAACGAAUACUGACACUGAGGUGCGAAAGCGUGGGGAGCAAACAGGGAUUAGAUACC